This 305-nucleotide ribosomal RNA is filed under the name uncultured bacterium. Its description in RNAcentral is "bacterial SSU rRNA". It matches the Rfam family "Bacterial small subunit ribosomal RNA", at positions 334 to 631 of the family's 1533-position model. The record is from RNAcentral.
UGUUCCUACGGGACGCAGCAGUAGGGAAUCUUCCACAAUGGACGAAAGUCUGAUGGAGCAACGCCGCGUGAGUGAAGAAGGGUUUCGGCUCGUAAAGCUCUGUUGGUAGUGAAGAAAGAUAGAGGUAGUAACUGGCCUUUAUUUGACGGUAAUUACUUAGAAAGUCACGGCUAACUACGUGCCAGCAGCCGCGGUAAUACGUAGGUGGCAAGCGUUGUCCGGAUUUACUGGGUGUAAAGGGCGUGCAGCCGGGAAGACAAGUCAGAUGUGAAAUCCCGCGGCUCAACCGCGGAACUGCAUUUGAA